GACCCGAACCUGGGUGAUCUAUCCAUGACCAGGAUGAAGCUUGGAUGAAACUAAGCAGAGGUUCGAACCGACUGAUGUUGAAGAAUCAGCGGAUGAGUUGUGGUUAGGGGUGAAAUGCCACUCGAACCCAGAGCUAGCUGG
This 141-nucleotide ribosomal RNA is filed under the name Oryza sativa Japonica Group (Japanese rice). RNAcentral's name for it is "rRNA LSU_rRNA_eukarya". It matches the Rfam family "Bacterial large subunit ribosomal RNA", at positions 712 to 852 of the family's 2925-position model. The record is from RNAcentral. Lineage: Eukaryota; Viridiplantae; Streptophyta; Magnoliopsida; Poales; Poaceae.